Molecule: ribosomal RNA, 253 nt
Filed under: uncultured bacterium
Lineage: Bacteria
Description: partial 16S ribosomal RNA
Rfam family: Bacterial small subunit ribosomal RNA
Source: RNAcentral
AACGUAGGACACAAGCGUUAUCCGGAGUUACUGGGCGUAAAGGGCGUUUAGGCGGGUGAUUAAGUUCGCUAUGAAAGCGCCGGGCUAAACUCGGCGAGGCUGGCGGAUACUGGUCGUCUGGAGUGAGUCAGAGGAAGGUAGAAUUCCGCGUGUAGUGGUGAAAUGCGUAGAGAUGCGGAGGAAUACCAGUGGCGAAGGCGGCCUUCUGGGACUCAACUGACGCUGAAGCGCGAAAGCAUGGGGAGCGAACGGG